Molecule: long non-coding RNA, 1642 nt
Organism: Corvus hawaiiensis (hawaiian crow)
Lineage: Eukaryota; Metazoa; Chordata; Aves; Passeriformes; Corvidae
Exons: 8
Source: RefSeq, a predicted model, not a curated record
GGACACACCAAAGAAGACUGGAGUAACGCAGGAAGCUCUGGCAGCCCAAGAAGCCCAGCUCCCUUGAGCCAGAACCUUGGUGCUGCCUCACCUGAGGAUUCAGAGCUGCCUCUAGGCCCUUCCAGCACAAGUGCAGGUUCUCAAGAGCGUGAGGCUUUCCCAGCAACUCCCAGGAAAGUGUUCGCCACCUCCAGACUUCUUGAGGAUUCAUCAGAGGACACACACAGAUUUCUACGCCAGCCUGAGCUCAUCAUUCCACUGGUUCCUGUAGACCAUCAAAGCCUUUUUGUGGCCCUUCCAGAGAGCAGCAGCUGCACAUCUUCAGAGCAGCACACCCCAGCCUACAGCCCAUCAGCCACACCGGGCAGUUCAGCCCCCAAUGCUCCACCUGGCAGUGCUGGUUGGGCAGCAUGGACGGCCUCCAGCUGGGCUUGGAAUAGUCCUGGGGAAGAGGAAUUGCCACCGCUGGAUCUAGAGCUUGUUCUUGAGACACUGGAGGAGAUGCUGUCACCAUCCCUGCCUGAAAGGUCUCCCUUUGCUCAGGGAAUGAAAAUGUUGCCCCUGAGUCUUCAGGAGGGGAGGCCGGGAACAGGGCUGCAGCAGAGGGAGCUUCGCCUGGCACCGAGAGCUGCGGGAACAGUUCCCCAGAGCCCGAGGAGCCUGAUAUCCAUCUGAUCUACCUCUCCAGGAGGGCUGCCUUGCGUGGGAGGAAGGGACCGAGGGAGGGCCUGUGACCAUCGGGCAGGUGGAAUCCCUCUGUUUAUAGAUAGAUUUAUAGAUGUCUAUAGUUAUGUUUAUAUAUCCAUAUAGUUAUUUAUAGUAUUUAUACUAUACUUAUUAGUUACAUAUAGUAUUUAUAGAUUUAUACAGUUGUGUUUAUAGGUGCAUGUAUUUAUAGAUCUGUAUAGUUAAAUUUAUAUAUAUAGUUAUAGAUGUGACGUAAUUAUAUUUAUACAUAGGCAGUUACAGUUAUAGAUUUGCAGAGUUAUAUUUAUAUAUGUGUAGAGAAAAAUUUAUAUAUAUCUAUUUAUAAAUGUACACAGUUAUAUAGUUAGAGGUAUUUGCAUAUUUAGAUACAUAGAUUGAUGUUUAUAUAGGCCUAGGCUGCAUUCUAAGCUCUUUCUGCCCUCAGCUGCCUUUUUAAUCUCCCCCUGUGCCCCCUCUGUCCCCUCUUCCUGUGCUGGCUCCGAGCUGGCGGCCGGGCCGGGCAGAGCAGCAGCUGCAGCCCCGGUGUCCCUGGAGCGGUGGGAGCUGCCGGUGGCCGCAGGCACUGUGCCCUGAGGAGCUGCUGGAGGACGCUGCCCUGAAGUCCUUGAGAACAACCAGAGACAGAUGAGAACCAGCAGGGAGAAGCUGAAGGCCACAGCAAGAGCAGUGAACGGGGACCUGCUGCUGCCGCCCGAGACCCUGGCUGAGGCCCCAGGGCCGGUGAGGCAGGAUGUCCCAUCUGAUGUCCCCUCUGCACGGGAGGAAGAGACCAAGGGAGAGGCUUUGAAGAUGGGGCGGCUGGAAUUCCUCUUCUUGUAUUUCUGUUUAAAGAUGUAUGGACUUGCACAUAAGAUAGUGAUAAUUACAUGGAUAUUUAUAUGUAGGUUGCUAUUUGUAUAGGUAUAUUUCUGUAUGUAUGUUGUUAUAUUUAUGG